RNAcentral lists this ribosomal RNA (485 nucleotides) under uncultured bacterium. RNAcentral's name for it is "partial 16S ribosomal RNA". It matches the Rfam family "Bacterial small subunit ribosomal RNA", at positions 28 to 523 of the family's 1533-position model. The record is from RNAcentral.
GACGAACGCUGGCGGCGUGCUUAACACAUGCAAGUCGAACGGUGAAAGCAGAGCUUGCUCCGCUGGAUCAGUGGCGAACGGGAGAGUAACACGUGGGCAACCUGCCCCUCACUUCGGGAUAACUCCGGGAAACCGGGGCUAAUACCGGAUAUGACCUCCUUGGGCAUCCUUGGAGGUGGGACGUUUUUCGGUGAGGGAUGGGCCCGCGGCCUAUCAGCUUGUUGGUGAGGUAGUGGCUCACCAAGGCGACGACGGGUAGCCGGCCUGAGAGGGCGACCGGCCACACUGGGACUGAGACACGGCCCAGACUCCUACGGGAGGCAGCAGUGGGGAAUAUUGCGCAAUGGGCGAAAGCCUGACGCAGCAACGCCGCGUGCGGGAUGACGGCCUUCGGGUUGUAAACCGCUUUCAGCAGGGAAGAAGCCGCAAGGUGACGGUACCUGCAGAAGAAGCACCGGCUAACUACGUGCCAGCCGCCGCCGUAA